This 492-nucleotide ribosomal RNA is filed under the name uncultured bacterium. Its description in RNAcentral is "partial 16S ribosomal RNA". It matches the Rfam family "Bacterial small subunit ribosomal RNA", at positions 29 to 507 of the family's 1533-position model. The record is from RNAcentral.
AGUGAACGCUGGCGGCAGGCCUAACACAUGCAAGUCGAACGGCAGCACAGUAAGAGCUUGCUCUUACGGGUGGCGAGUGGCGGACGGGUGAGGAAUACAUCGGAAUCUACUUUUUCGUGGGGGAUAACGUAGGGAAACUUACGCUAAUACCGCAUACGAUCUACGGGUGAAAGCAGGGGAUCUUCGGACCUUGCGCGACUGAAUGAGCCGAUGUCGGAUUAGCUAGUUGGCGGGGUAAAGGCCCACCAAGGCGACGAUCCGUAGCUGGUCUGAGAGGAUGAUCGGCCACACUGGAACUGAGACACGGUCCAGACUCCUACGGGAGGCAGCAGUGGGGAAUAUUGGGCAAUGGGCGCAAGCCUGAUCCAGCCAUGCCGCGUGGGUGAAGAAGGCCUUCGGGUUGUAAAGCCCUUUUGUUGGGGAAGAAAAGCUGCAGGUUAAUACGCCGCUGUUCUGACGGUACCCAAAGAAUAAGCACCGGCUAACUUCGUG